Molecule: ribosomal RNA, 301 nt
Filed under: uncultured bacterium
Lineage: Bacteria
Description: partial 16S ribosomal RNA
Rfam family: Bacterial small subunit ribosomal RNA
Source: RNAcentral
CAGUCGCCGCGGUAAUACGGAGGGUGCAAGCGUUAAUCGGAAUUACUGGGCGUAAAGCGCACGCAGGCGGUCUGUCAAGUCAGAUGUGAAAUCCCCGGGCUUAACCUGGGAACUGCAUUUGAAACUGGCAGGCUAGAGUCUUGUAGAGGGGGGUAGAAUUCCAGGUGUAGCGGUGAAAUGCGUAGAGAUCUGGAGGAGUACCGGUGGCGAAGGCGGCCCCCUGGACAAAGACUGACGCUCAGGUGCGAAAGCGUGGGGAGCAAACAGGAUUAGAUACCCCGGUAGUCCCUGUCUCUUAUAA